CCUACGGGAGGCAGCAGUGAGGAAUAUUGGUCAAUGGGCUUACGCCUGAACCAGCCAAGUCGCGUGAGGGAAGACUGCCCUAUGGGUGGUAAACCUCUUGUGUCAGGGAGAAACGCCGGCUACGUGUAGACGGACUGAGAGAACCUGAAGAAAAAGCAUCGGCUAACUACGUGCCAGCAGCCGCGGUAAUACGGAGGAUGCGAGCGGUAUCCGGAUUUAUUGGGGUUAAAGGGUGCAUAGGCGGAAUGCCAAGUCAGCGGUAAAAUCGGGGGGCUCAAAAGCGCUCCGCCGUUGAAACUGGCGUUCUUGAGUGGGCGAGAAGUAUGCGGAAUGCGUGGUGUAGCGGUGAAAUGCAUAGAUAUCACGCAGAACUCCGAUUGCGAAGGCAGCAUACCGGCGCCCAACUGACGCUGAAGCACGAAAGCGUGGGUAUCGAACAGGAUUAGAUACCCUUGUAGUC
This 460-nucleotide ribosomal RNA is filed under the name uncultured bacterium. RNAcentral's name for it is "partial 16S ribosomal RNA". It matches the Rfam family "Bacterial small subunit ribosomal RNA", at positions 338 to 795 of the family's 1533-position model. The record is from RNAcentral.